Molecule: long non-coding RNA, 701 nt
Organism: Callorhinchus milii (elephant shark)
Lineage: Eukaryota; Metazoa; Chordata; Chondrichthyes; Chimaeriformes; Callorhinchidae
Exons: 3
Source: RefSeq, a predicted model, not a curated record
CGCGGUGGUGCUGUUUACAUGGCUGGACGUCGAACUGCAUGUCAAUAAAGAUUUUUUUUUCUCUCUUUUUUUCACAGAUAUACAACAACGAUAUCCAGCGUGCUCCAAGCCGGGCGGCGUCCCAGAGCGCUUAACCUUCACCACUUCCUUCCAGUUACUUCCCCCAACCUGGUAACUCCUCAAAGCACUGACCUGUCCUGGGGCAGAUAGGAACAGGUGGCAGUGUGACGAUGAAGCCAAACAGAGGAAAGGUGAAACCCAUCAGACAAGUUAAUCUGGAACGGUUGACGCGGAGCCCUCGGAGGGUACCUGGUCAGAGCCCUCGCCGCGCAAGCGAGGGGACCCGGGUCUGAUUCCCGGGCAGGGCGAGAUCUUCGGCGAGUCUCUUCACUCCACAGGUCAACCGAGUAAGAUAGUGUACAUACUCAGCAGACAUACAAACACACAGAACAGAAUGCAAGGGAGAUCCCAAUCAAGUGAUACGGAAUUGUGAUUGUCAUUAUAUAAAUACCCAAAGCAGCGCACAGCUGAUACAGCAGGAGCUGCCGGUACAUUUCGCAACGCUUGUCGGGCUGUGCCUUCCUCAUCUACAAGAGGUAUUCCAGACUCACGUGAGGACAUGUCGACACAUCUGAGCCAUUCCGCAGGCAGAUCAAACGUAAGCGAGAGCACCUGGGUUUGAUUCCCGGGCCGGGCGAAAC